Fundulus heteroclitus (mummichog) is the source of this 586-nucleotide long non-coding RNA. RefSeq lists it as uncharacterized. The record is from RefSeq and is a predicted model, not a curated record. The transcript has 3 exons. NCBI's taxonomy places the organism in Eukaryota, Metazoa, Chordata, Actinopteri, Cyprinodontiformes, Fundulidae.
ACAUCCAGUUCAGGACCCACCCCUGAUAAGUCCCCAAGUUCUAGUCUCUCUACAGCCACAUCUGCAUCUCCCCCCAUUCCAUCACCAACUGUCUCCCAGCCAUCUAAGGUGGAGAUUCAUCCUGGGACUGGAGUCAUGAUUGACAAACUAGCAUGGGCCUAUGCCCUCAAUUCAAAUUCAGCCACUGUGUUUGUGAGGCAUCUCCUCACUGCCGUCUUCCCAUUGGAAAUAUUACUGGUGAGCAAUCUUCGUGGGACCAAAAGAAGUGGAGGAGAUACUCGUCUACCACUGGACAAAAAUAAAUUGGAUGCCAUUUACAGUGCAACUCUUGAGAGGUUUCCAGGGUCUCCACUGUCCAUCAUUGGAACCACGAUCAAUGCCAAGAUUACCGAGCUCAGGUCUAAAAGUAAAACCUCCACACCUCACAGUUAAACGUCUGCCUUUGGAGCCAAAUUAAUUAGUGUUGAGGGCAUGUUAGUGAGAUUGGCAUGUUUAUUGUAAUCUAAAGUAAUACAGCUACUGUAGUUUGUAUACCUGUUUGUUUUUCACUUAAUAAAAAAGCUGAAUGUUUACAUCUGUGAAACGU